GAUUACUCAGUGUUUGGAGCCCUCAUGGAGGUGAUACACGUCUGGAGAGAGAAAUUAAUGAGAAGAGAAAAUAAGGAACCAGUUAGGCAGAUAGUUAGGAGAAGGUUCUUGGUAGAAGCCCUCCCCCAAAAAUAACAGUCUGGAGGAAAUCAAGCUGCAAGCGCAGGUAAGGAAGCAAAGUCCAAAGCCUUUGUCUUCUGUGCAACCAGUGAGCUCUGCCUACACACACACGGUGGUCUUCAGUGAGCACAUUCCUUUUCUUUUCGGACAUAGUCAGAUAAAGGAACUUGCACGGGGUGCUUUCCUAAGACAGACCUGUAGCUGUAUAGAUAAGGAAAGUUACACAGAACCAGACACGUCCGCAGUGACACAGAGUCAAUAAGCAAAAUAAAACAACAUGCAGUAACUCAGGCUAAGGACCUGCAUGCACACUAGAGGGAAGAGGUGGAGCUAACAAGAAUUUGUAUGUAUGCAAAUAAGACAUCCAGUCCUAACCAGUUUUUCAUGCCUUAUGCACACAAAACACUGUGACUCAUUAGCUUUUAUUUUUGUAUAUAAAAGUCUGCAUUCAACUGUGAAAUGACAACCCUCUCAGUCUUCCUCUUCACAGUAGUCAGCUUUUCUCUUUCGCUUAUUAAACUUCUCUUCCAACAUUACCAUUGGUGUCCACAAUCCUUAAAUUUUGGGUCUUGAGACAAAGAACUCCUGGUGAUACUUCAAACAACAAGACUGCUCCAGUGACCCUAGGCUGCUUCACUGUAAAAGCAAACUUCCAGAAACAAAACAGACAAAACUUUGUGACGACAAAUAUCACAGUUGCCACACAGGCCAGCAGAAACCCAAUCACAUCCAAAGAGUGGUACUGGAACCAGGUGAGGUCACGGGCUGCAACUCGAAGGUGUUUGGCUCCUUUGUGGCACAUCACAAAUUCAAUCCAGAAGACUGCUCGAUGCAGGGGCUUUACUGGUUGAUCAUGUUGAAUUAUUGAUAAUUUCAUAACAUUCUCUUUAUAUCUGAAGGAUAAAAAUAAAGAUACCAACACUGAAAGUAAGUUAACUGGCCUGUAUGUAUCAAGUCUAUGAAAGGCUUUUAAAGUGUCAAAUAAUUCAAAGUAAAUUUGAAAGAAUUGACAGAGAAUUUGUGUAUUUUAAUUUGAGUCAUCAUAGAUAGUUGGGCUUUUAAAUUGGACUUUUCUCAUUGACAAACAUUUUUAAAGCAGAAAUGGAAGGUCAGGUGAGAAAAUUAAUUUUUUUCAAGCAGAGAAAAUAUAAGGCAUUUUAAUUGUUUUUAAUUCUUUAAUUUUAAGUUUUUGUGGGUCCAUAUUAAGUGUAUAUAUUUAUGGGGUACAUGAGAUAUUUUGAUACAAUGUGAAAUAAUCACAUCAUGAAAAAUAGGAUAUUCAUCCUUUAAGCAUUUAUCCUUUGUAUUAUGAACAAUCCAAUUACACUCUUAGUUCUCAAACAGGCAUAUGAGUACCUGCUCAACAUCAUGAGCCAUUUUAAGUGCUGUAAGAAAGAUUGUGAAAAUGCGAUGUGAGAAUUAUCAUCUGUAAGUUCCUAAAAAGGAAUUUUAUCAUGGCGAGUGACAUACCUCAUGGCUUGUCACUUUGCUUUUACAUUACUCUUUUGUUUCCUACUGUUUCCCACCCUGUAGCCAGAAUGAUUUUUUGAAAUUAAAGUCAGAUUAUGGCACUCUUCUGAUUAAGAUUUUUGCCUGGCUUCUCAUUCUUUUAAUCAUAAAAUUCAACUCUGUUAUUUGGUCUACAGAACCCUACAUUUUAAGACACUGGCAAGCUCUUUUCUAACACUUUUCCCCUGCACAUUGUCUUCUAGAUUGGCCUUCUAAUUUUCUUUAAGCUUCCAAAGGUGUUCUCAUCUUAGCACUUUACACAUUUUGUUCCUUCUCUCCUGCUCUUGGAGUACUCUUUCUUGCUGCAACCCAAGGCAUGCUUCUCUCCCUUUUUGUGGCUUCCCUCUAAGUGUUACCUCUAAGAGAGGCUUUUAUUGGCCAAACUGUGAUGGAGCCUCUAGAAUUUUCUCUAUUUUCUGUGCUUAUUUUCUAUCUGAUUCCUAGAAUUUUGUAAAUGAUUUAUAUAUCUCAUAAAAUAUACAUUUAAAUAUAAAACACAAAAGAUAAAUAUACAUACACUAAGUGAAUAGUUCAAAAAUGGAAGAUCAUCUUGAACAUUAUCUUGAGGUGAAGAUACCAAUUUACCUACUGUUCAGGUCGUGGUAUAGGCUAUCACAAUCUGCCUAGAAUAACUCCCUUUUUCUGAACCUUUUAGUGACUACUUUUGUCCUCCAACUAAGGAUUAGCCUGACUUCGAAUCACAACAUUAGUUUUGCUUGUUUAUGUAAUUGAAUUAUAUAAUAUGUACUCAAAAGUGUCUUUUUCUUUAAUGUAGCAGUUCUUGGGUAAUUCCAUUGCUAUGUAGUAUUCUGUUGAUUGAUAAACCACAGAUUAUGUCUUCAUUUUACGAUGAAUAGAUAUUUGGGUUGCUAACAAUUUUUGAACACUGUUGAUAAUUCUCUCAUGAACACUCUGCUAUACAGCAUUAGAUUUAUAUAUUUAUGUAUAUCUGUUGUGUAUAUAAUUGAGAGUAGAAUUGCUGAGAUAAAAGUGCAUGCAUAAUUAUGAUUUACUUCUUGACUUUAAAUUUUUUUGAAGUGUAUUUUUUUAAUUUCCAAUAUUAAGGAUAUUUUAGUAAUAGUAUUUUUAACCUCCGUUAUUUCCACUAUGGCUGGAUCAUAUAGUCUUCAUGAUAUUGAAUCUUUUUAUAUUUCCUAAGUCUUGAUUUAUUGCCCACCACAUAUCACUUCAAGUAAAGAUUAACUAUUUGACGUACUCCAGGAAAAUGUGUCUUCAAGUUGAUAUAUACAAUACAUAUAUGUGUAUUGUAUAUGUAUAUAUGUGUUUGUAUAUCAUUUUAGAUUGUAAGAAUCCAUUUGUUAAUUGUAUUCUUCAAGUGUUUUAUGU
Molecule: long non-coding RNA, 2976 nt
Filed under: Homo sapiens (human)
Lineage: Eukaryota; Metazoa; Chordata; Mammalia; Primates; Hominidae
Description: HSALNT0073330
Source: RNAcentral